GUGCCAGCAGCCGCGGUAAUACGGAGGGUGCGAGCGUUAAUCGGAAUUACUGGGCGUAAAGGGCGCGUAGGCGGUCGCGCAAGUCGGGUGUGAAAGCCCCGGGCUCAACCUGGGAAUUGCAUUCGAUACUGCGUAACUGAGUCUGGUAGAGGGAAGCGGAAUUCCGCAUGUAGCGGUGAAAUGCGUAGAUAUGCGGAGGAACACCAGUGGCGAAGGCGGCUUCCUGGACCAAGACUGACGCUGAGGCGCGAAAGCGUGGGGAGCAAACAGGAUUAGAUACCCUGGUAGUCCACGCCCUAAACGAUGAGGACUAGACGUUGGGGGGAUAAAACCCUUUAGUGUCGCAGCUAACGCGUGAAGUCCUCCGCCUGGGGAGUACGGCCGCAAGGUUGAAACUUAAAGGAAUUGACGG
Molecule: ribosomal RNA, 412 nt
Filed under: uncultured bacterium
Lineage: Bacteria
Description: bacterial SSU rRNA
Rfam family: Bacterial small subunit ribosomal RNA
Source: RNAcentral